UCGAGAAGGACCGCGACCGUGUAUUGGC
This 28-nucleotide small RNA is filed under the name Bombyx mori (domestic silkworm). Its description in RNAcentral is "ovarian small RNA-7502". The record is from RNAcentral. Lineage: Eukaryota; Metazoa; Arthropoda; Insecta; Lepidoptera; Bombycidae.